Brassica oleracea var. oleracea is the source of this 73-nucleotide transfer RNA. It matches the Rfam family "tRNA". From Rfam's summary of the family: Transfer RNA (tRNA) molecules are approximately 80 nucleotides in length. Lineage: Eukaryota; Viridiplantae; Streptophyta; Magnoliopsida; Brassicales; Brassicaceae. The record is from Rfam.
GCGCCUGUACCUCUGUGGAUAGAACGUCUGUUUCCUAAGCAGAAGGCCGUAGGUUCGACCCCUACCUGGCGCG